UACGUAGGGGGCAAGCGUUGUCCGGAAUCAUUGGGCGUAAAGAGCGUGUAGGCGGCCCGGUAAGUCCGCUGUGAAAGUCGGGGGCUCAACCCUCGGAUGCCGGUGGAUACUGUCGGGCUUGAGUACGGAAGAGGCGAGUGGAAUUCCUGGUGUAGCGGUGAAAUGCGCAGAUAUCAGGAGGAACACCAAUUGCGAAGGCAGCUCGCUGGGACGUUACUGACGCUGAGACGCGAAAGCGUGGGGAGCAAACAGG
Molecule: ribosomal RNA, 253 nt
Filed under: uncultured bacterium
Lineage: Bacteria
Description: partial 16S ribosomal RNA
Rfam family: Bacterial small subunit ribosomal RNA
Source: RNAcentral